This 313-nucleotide long non-coding RNA is filed under the name Setaria italica (foxtail millet). RNAcentral's name for it is "long non-coding RNA (SITA_LNC002469)". Lineage: Eukaryota; Viridiplantae; Streptophyta; Magnoliopsida; Poales; Poaceae. The record is from RNAcentral.
CUCGAUCUCCUCCUUGGACAGACGGCCCUUGUCGUUGGUGAUGGUGAUCUUGUUCUUCUGGCCAGUGGUCUUGUCCUCGGCAGAGACGUUCAGGAUGCCGUUGGCAUCGAUGUCGAAGCAGACAGUGAUCUGGGGGACACCACGGGGAGCAGGGGGGAUGCCGGAGAGCUCGAACUUGCCCAGGAGGUUGUUGUCGCGGGUCCUGGUCCUCUCACCCUCGUACACCUGGAUCAGCACACCAGGCUGGUUGUCCGAGUAGGUGGAGAACACCUGCUCCUUCUUGGUGGGGAUGGUUGUGUUCCUCGGGAUCAGC